UCCGUAGGCGGGCAAUUAAGUCAGAGGUGAAAUCCCACAGCUCAACUGUGGAACUGCCUUUGAUACUGGUUGUCUUGAGUUACAGUGAAGUAGAUAGAAUAUGUAGUGUAGCGGUGAAAUGCAUAGAUAUUACAUAGAAUACCGAUUGCGAAGGCAGUCUACUAACUGUAUACUGACGCUAAUGGACGAAAGCGUGGGGAGCGAACAGGAUUAGAUACCCUUGUAGUCC
Molecule: ribosomal RNA, 229 nt
Filed under: uncultured bacterium
Lineage: Bacteria
Description: partial 16S ribosomal RNA
Rfam family: Bacterial small subunit ribosomal RNA
Source: RNAcentral